This 329-nucleotide unclassified non-coding RNA is filed under the name soil metagenome. RNAcentral's name for it is "partial contains 5.8S ribosomal RNA, internal transcribed spacer 2, and large subunit ribosomal RNA". The stretch from base 1 to 120 matches the Rfam family "5.8S ribosomal RNA", at positions 35 to 154 of the family's 154-position model. The record is from RNAcentral.
GAUGAAGAACGCAGCGAAAUGCGAUAAGUAAUGUGAAUUGCAGAAUUCAGUGAAUCAUCGAAUCUUUGAACGCACAUUGCGCCCUCUGGUAUUCCGGGGGGCAUGCCUGUUCGAGCGUCAUUAUAACCACUCAAGCUCUCGCUUGGUAUUGGGGUUCGCGGUUCCGCGGCCCCUAAAAUCAGUGGCGGUGCCUGUCGGCUCUACGCGUAGUAAUACUCCUCGCGUCUGGGUCCGGUAGGUCUACUUGCCAGCAACCCCCAAUUUUUACAGGUUGACCUCGGAUCAGGUAGGGAUACCCGCUGAACUUAAGCAUAUUAAUAAGCGGAGGA